Hippopotamus amphibius kiboko is the source of this 321-nucleotide long non-coding RNA. RefSeq lists it as uncharacterized. Lineage: Eukaryota; Metazoa; Chordata; Mammalia; Artiodactyla; Hippopotamidae. The transcript has 4 exons. The record is from RefSeq and is a predicted model, not a curated record.
GAGGAAGACGUGCAGUAUUGAAGGCUACGCUAGCCCACUGCAACUUGAAGACAUUAUGGAGGAACUUGGCAGAGGAGAGCCCAAACUGGGAAGUAAUGAAAUACGCCUUAGCCUUUACUUUCUGACUCAGACGGCCUUCAUCAUCACAACCACUCACACCUGCAUUCAACCUGUAUUCUUGCAGGCUGCUUAGCCUUCGGCUGGAAGGCAGACACUUCUAAGUAAGGCUUCCUAUAACGAAUUACCACAAAUGUGGUAGCUUACAGCAACAAAAACUUAUUCUCUCACAGUGUGUGAGACCAUACUCCUUCAAAACCUCGA